GAUGAACGCUGGCGGCGUGCCUAAUACAUGCAAGUCGAGCGAACAGACGAGGAGCUUGCUCCUCUGACGUUAGCGGCGGACGGGUGAGUAACACGUGGAUAACCUACCUAUAAGACUGGGAUAACUUCGGGAAACCGGAGCUAAUACCGGAUAAUAUAUUGAACCGCAUGGUUCAAUAGUGAAAGACGGUUUUGCUGUCACUUAUAGAUGGAUCCGCGCCGCAUUAGCUAGUUGGUAAGGUAACGGCUUACCAAGGCAACGAUGCGUAGCCGACCUGAGAGGGUGAUCGGCCACACUGGAACUGAGACACGGUCCAGACGCCUACGAGAGGCAGCAGUAGGGUAUCUUACGCAAUGGGCGAAAGCCUGACGGAGCAACGCCGCGUGAGUGAUGAAGGUCUUCGGAUCGUAAAACUCUGUUAUUAGGGAAGAACAAAUGUGUAAGUAACUAUGCACGUCUUGACGGUACCUAAUCAGAAAGCCACGGCUAACUACGUG
RNAcentral lists this ribosomal RNA (497 nucleotides) under uncultured bacterium. RNAcentral's name for it is "partial 16S ribosomal RNA". It matches the Rfam family "Bacterial small subunit ribosomal RNA", at positions 28 to 507 of the family's 1533-position model. The record is from RNAcentral.